CAACUAUUACCGGGUUAGCUUGUCGGAGCCGGGUAUGUUCUCUUCCGGCCGACAGAGGGAGCUCUCAGCUCUUCUAUCACGCUCAGAAGAAGAAGGAGGGACGAGGCUGGCUCUAGGCGAGGUCACCUGAGCUAAUCCCAAUCCCAAACGGAGAGCCUAGCACUCCACCCAACGAUGUAGGUGGAACAAGGAGACUAAGGCCAUCUUAGUUGGUGGGCUGCUGAAUUAAAGGUGGCGGCCACGCCGGAGACGAAACAGCUUCUACGACCCGCCUGACAUGCCGCUGGAGGGCGGCGGGUGGAGCCGCCGGCCGCUGCUGCUGUUCGGCUGCCGGAGGCAGACCAGCUCGCGGUGGUUCUACCGCGGCGGCUGGGAGGCGUUCGGGAGGCGCUGGAAGCGGGGAGGGUGCAGGGAGGAGUCCUUGGUCGUGGGGGCGGGGCGGCGAGGGUUCGGGUCGCGGCGCGUCGGCGGCGUGGGGGAGGGGGAGCGGAGGCGGUGGUGGUGGUGGUGGUGGCGCCGGAGGAAGGUGGGGCGGGAGCAGCGGCACGUCAGGUGGCACGAGCUCCUCAUGCUGGGGCGGUCCGGGUUGCUGAUGCUCCUGAUGGCGUUCCUCUUCGAGUUCGCCCGGUUCCUGCGGCUCUACUUCUUCCUCGAGCUGGCCUCCGCGGCGCUCCUGGUCCUCUCCCUCUCCCUCGCGCUCGACUCCCUCCGGCUCCGGGCGGAGGCGCUCCUCGUCAGGUCCCGGAGGAGGGAGUUGUAUAGGCCGCUCCUCCGGACCUUCUCCUCCCGGCGGUACUCGCCGCGACCGCCGCCGCGAUGAGGAGUCUCCCGGAGCAGAGGCGGGGUGCCGCUACGGUCACCGAAGAGGUAGGGUCCGAGGAGGAGGAGACCUAACCCGGACCCGCGACCGCCGGUCUACUGGCGACGGGUCUCUUACUACCGGUUCUACCCCACCUUCCUUCCGGUCCCCGAACCGUUCGUCCUCGUCCCUUAGUGUCGCGGAGACCAACGAUCCUUCUGGCUGGCCUCCCGUCCCCAAUAACAGCUACUCUCGUCAAGGUCCUCCGGGUCUAGUCGGUUGAAACUUCCGGUCGGGUGGUCUCAUCACGAAGACGCGUUAUACUAACCAGGCCCGCUCCAACUGCUGCUCGACCUUCUGCUCUAACGGAGCCUUACGAGGUUCAAACCCCGACACAAUGCGCACGACUAUAAGCUCUAGUGGGUCCGUUUGAAGGGGCGCCUGCUUCGUCACUCCUAGAAACACGACAAGCUCUCCUGUCUUCUGAGCUGGUUCCGCAACCAACUUGACCUUCCCGCGAUGAAACCGCCUGCGUAUCACGUGCGCUGGAAGAAGCUGCUCCCUUCCAAACUCUCCUUGCUCGAACGAGGCUACGGGCCCCUUCAUGGUCCCAAGCUGAUUUGGAAUUAUUCGUCUGAUUUCUUGACCUGCAACCACAGAGCCUACAUUGAAUUAGAUCUCGUACUUGCGUCACAAAAAGAAAGGAAAACUCCUGUCAAAUGUUGUACAACCACUUACAACCGGAUAACGGUGAAUAACAACAUCUCAACAAUAAUAUGAGUUGAAGACCCACAUCUCCACUCAUAGACGUAGCGUAGCGGCAGAAGGAAAAAAAAAACUUACGCGUAGUCCAUAAGAACAAUUAAGAAUGUUUUAUUUAAGACAGUGGGUAACUUAAACCGUUAUAACUAGGGAGUUCGGGUUUAUAGGUGGAGAAACCG
This 1740-nucleotide ribosomal RNA is filed under the name Triticum aestivum (bread wheat). RNAcentral describes it as "partial small subunit ribosomal RNA". The record is from RNAcentral. Lineage: Eukaryota; Viridiplantae; Streptophyta; Magnoliopsida; Poales; Poaceae.